This 66-nucleotide transfer RNA is filed under the name Cyrtodactylus badenensis. RNAcentral describes it as "tRNA-Trp". Lineage: Eukaryota; Metazoa; Chordata; Lepidosauria; Squamata; Gekkonidae. The record is from RNAcentral.
AAACUUAGGUUAAACAAACCAGGAGCCUUCAAAGCCCCAAAAAAGAGUCACCACCCUCCUAGUUUC